GGGAUCUGAAGAUGAACCCAAGGAAGAAGAAAAAGGGAAUGACUCCAUCAGCUCAAGUCUCCAGUGAUACACAGUAGAUUGAAGAAAUAUCUGCCCUUCAUAUAGACAUAGCAAAACUUCGUUCAGGACUUUUUGCAAAAUCUCAAAAGCAGGAGAAUCUUGCCCCAACUGAGUUCUCCUCUCUCACCUCACCUCACAUCCCUCAUCCUACCAUUCCAUCUCAAUCUGCAGAAACAUGGGUGUAAGUUUAACGAUUUCAGUAGAGUAAUACCGAGAUACAGAGGUGGGGGAAAGGAGAAAGGAAUGAGGAAAGAAGGAGGAAGAAGAAAGGAAGGAGAUGGUGGAAAAGAAGAAGAAAAGGAAGAAAAAAGGAGGUUUUGAAGAAGGAAGUUGCUACGUUCCAGCAACACCACAUGGCUAGGAUUUGAGGGCAGCCUCUACUUACUGAGAAUAAACCCCAGCCAAGCAAGGACAUGGAUCCCAUUAUACAACCUCAAGGAACUAAAUGCUGCCACAAACUGCAGUAUCCUUGGAAGAGGUCCUCAAACCUGAGAUGAGAUUGCAGCCCUAGCCCACACCUGGGUUUCAGUCUAGUGAGCCCCUGAACAGGGGACAAUACCUGGACUCCUGCCCACAGACACUAUGAGAUGCCUAGUUUGUGAUAAUUUUUAUACAUCAAUAGAAAACUAAUAUACUUUAGUAAAUGAGCAAGAAGGACUAGACAAAAAUCAGAAUACAAAAUACAAACAAGUGGACAAAUAUGUACAGAAAAAAAUAAAAUUUAUAUUAAAACAGAA
Microcebus murinus (gray mouse lemur) is the source of this 797-nucleotide non-coding RNA. Lineage: Eukaryota; Metazoa; Chordata; Mammalia; Primates; Cheirogaleidae. The record is from RefSeq and is a predicted model, not a curated record.